Amborella trichopoda is the source of this 1440-nucleotide non-coding RNA. The record is from RefSeq and is a predicted model, not a curated record. Lineage: Eukaryota; Viridiplantae; Streptophyta; Magnoliopsida; Amborellales; Amborellaceae.
CUCGUCGUAUACUUCCCCGAAAGUGUGUACCUGUCUUCUCCGUUUCUGUGUCUUGCACAUGGUCAAAGAAGCGGCCAACACCCUCUGGUAACCCUAUAAGUAUCAGACAAUUUCCAAACCUUUUUCUACCAGGCGAUUGUACGGUCUUUUUGGCUGAACCCUAGGACCUAGGCAUUUUGUCAGCUUUUCUGUUGAUUCGAUCAAAUGGAUGAAGGUUCAAACAUCACAAAAGAAUCAAGUUUGUCUUGUGCUCGUUGUGGCAAACCAGCUCAUCUUCAAUGUCCUAAAUGUGUGGAAUUGAAGCUACCUCGGGGAGAUGCUGCAUUCUGGUUUUUCUCAGGAUUGUUUCAAGGCAGCAUGGAGCUCGCACAAGUCAGUCCACUUGCGUAUAGAGUCCCAACCACUUAGAGCUGAUGCAUCAGAUGAUCAAACUUCUGCAGCCCUUAAAAGGGGUUGGUUGUAUUGCUUAAAGAAAGGCCAAGCUCGAACCGCUAAACUUCCACAUUUUGAUUGGACAGGGUGUGUAUGGAAUGAUUUAUAUGUGCAAUUGUCUAUGUUAGUCUUCUAUAGAUGGCAUAUGUGUUUCUGUAUUUUACCUUUCAAAAUGGACUGGAAGAUCAGUGCAAAUCGUGAUAUUGAAGAUUUUCUAUUAUGUAUUUCCUCUGCCUAUUUAUAAUCUGUACAAUGUACAAUAUAAAAGAAAGUUUUCUUUUAGAUGCCGAAUUAUCAUGUAGUAAAUGCUCGUUGAAGUUAGAGUUAUGUUGAUUUGGUUCAUCUUAAAUCUUAUGUAGGAAGAAGAUUUAGUGAUGCAACUCUAUAUUGCUCGCUGAUAAUCUGGAUGACUUUGUACCUAUAAUUUAGGGAAACUAUGGCAACAAUAGGUAUUAGGGCUUGGUUUUGUUCUGUUUGGUGUGUGUGUUUAUGUGCUUGCCUUAGCAUAUGCGUCAGUUUCUUAAGGCGUGGCUCUCUCAUCUCACAUCAUCCUUUUCUCAUGCCUUCUACAACUGCACCAUUUACAUCCAAUUGAUUGAACAUCACAGAUGAAUCCCUUAUGUAUGAUGUUUGUUAGAUCUGUUCUCUAUUUUAGUAAAAAAUUUUGCUCCUUGAGCACAAUUUCUCGUACUCAUGUGCAAGGUGAUCCUUAUGGUGGUCAAUACUACGAGUGGCUUAAGAAUACUAAUCCUCUUCUUUACUUGGUGUUGUCUGCAAUGGUUGGUAAGAGCUAUCCAUUUUUUCUAUUUGAGAUGGGGGCUGUGUUGUUCAUCAAUCACAAGUUAUUUGUUGUGAAUAAUUUUUAUGGUGACCAUUGUACAAGAUAAUGUGAUGUCCUGUGGAUAUGAUGUUCAUAUGAUUUUCUUAGAAAUCUGAUUCUAUUGCAUUGUAAUUGUUUUGAAUCCUUGCCGUGCUCAGAUCUAAUGUAAAUAUUUGGAAAUGUUGAAC